GCUUUAGGGCUAGCCUCAAGGUGAGAGAUACGGAGGUAGAGCACUGAAUGUCCUAGGGGGUAUUGCACCUACCGAAGACUAUCAAACUCCGAAUGCCGUCAUCUUAUACUUGGGAGUCAGACUGUGGGUGAUAAGAUUCAUAGUCGAAAGGGCAACAGCCCAGAUCGUCAGCUAAGGUCCCUAAAUGUAAGUUAAGUGGUAAAGGAUGUGGGAUUGCACAGACAACCAGGAUGUUGGCUUAGAAGCAGCCACUCAUUCAAAGAGUGCGUAAUAGCUCACUGGUCGAGUGAUCCUGCGCCGAAGAUUUCCGGGGCUAAAACUUACUACCGAAGCUACGGCAUCAGUAAUGAUGGGUAGGGGAGCUUCCCAUACGGGUUGAAGCAUGACCGUAAGGACAUGUGGACAGUAUGGGAGUGAGAAUGUUGGCAUGAGUAGCGAGAUGUGGGUGAGAACCCCACAGGCCGUAAACCCAAGGUUUCCAGGGGAAGGUUCGUCCGCCCUGGGUUAGUCGGGACCUAAGCUGAGGCCGAAAGGCGUAGGUGAUGGACAACAGGUUGAUAUUCCUGUACUACCGAUAACCGUUUGAGAGAAGGGAUGACACAGUAGGAUAAGCUAAGCACACUGUUGGUUAUGUGUGCCCAAGCAUUGAGGCAGUCAAAGUAGGCAAAUCCGCUUUGAUAAUGCUGGGAUGUGAUGGGGAGCGAAAUUUAGUAGCGAAGUAGCUGAUUUCACACUGUCAAGAAAAGUCUCUAUCGAGGUUAAAGGUACCCGUACCGCAAACCGACACAGGUGGGUGAGGAGAGUAUCCUAAGGCCAGCGAGAGAACUGUUGUUAAGGAACUCGGCAAAAUGACCCCGUAACUUAGGGAUAAGGGGUGCCACCAUCAGGUGGCCGCAGAGAAUAGGCCCAAGCGACUGUUUACCAAAAACAUAGGUUUCUGCUAAGUCGCAAGACGAUGUAUAGGAGCUGACGCCUGCCCGGUGCUGGAAGGUUAAGGGGAUCUGUUAGAGCAAUCGAAGCAGUGAACUUAAGCCCCAGUAAACGGCGGCCGUAACUAUAACGGUCCUAAGGUAGCGAAAUUCCUUGUCGGGUAAGUUCCGACCCGCACGAAAGGCGUAACGA
This 1122-nucleotide ribosomal RNA is filed under the name metagenome. RNAcentral's name for it is "bacterial LSU rRNA". It matches the Rfam family "Bacterial large subunit ribosomal RNA", at positions 867 to 2007 of the family's 2925-position model. The record is from RNAcentral.